This 482-nucleotide ribosomal RNA is filed under the name uncultured bacterium. RNAcentral describes it as "partial 16S ribosomal RNA". It matches the Rfam family "Bacterial small subunit ribosomal RNA", at positions 30 to 507 of the family's 1533-position model. The record is from RNAcentral.
AUUGAACGCUGGCGGCAUGCUCUAUACAUGCAAGUCGAACGGUAACAGGCCGCAAGGUGCUGACGAGUGGCGAACGGGUGAGUAAUGCAUCGGAACGUGCCCAGUCGUGGGGGAUAACUACUCGAAAGAGUAGCUAAUACCGCAUACGAUCUAUGGAUGAAAGCGGGGGACCGUAAGGCCUCGCGCGAUUGGAGCGGCCGAUGUCAGAUUAGGUAGUUGGUGGGGUAAAGGCUCACCAAGCCAACGAUCUGUAGCUGGUCUGAGAGGACGACCAGCCACACUGGGACUGAGACACGGCCCAGACUCCUACGGGAGGCAGCAGUGGGGAAUUUUGGACAAUGGGCGCAAGCCUGAUCCAGCAAUGCCGCGUGCAGGAAGAAGGCCUUCGGGUUGUAAACUGCUUUUGUACGGAACGAAACGGCUCUGGUUAAUACCCGGGGCUAAUGACGGUACCGUAAGAAUAAGCACCGGCUAACUACGUG